Long non-coding RNA from Gavialis gangeticus (Gharial), 473 nucleotides. RefSeq lists it as uncharacterized. The record is from RefSeq and is a predicted model, not a curated record. Lineage: Eukaryota; Metazoa; Chordata; Crocodylia; Gavialidae. The transcript has 2 exons.
GGUGCCUGGAUUCUAGUAGAAAAUGACAGGUUUCCCUUUGCAGGUGAGCAGCACUCUAACCUGCAAGGGGUCCUGCUUGAGGGGUACUGGGAGUGAGACACAGGGGGUGUCGCGUGCCUGUGCAUGGCCACUUGCAUGAACAUGGCCUGGAACACUUACCCUGCAGACUUUAAUCGGUCAACCAUCAAGGAAAAAUGCUUUGAAGCUAUACAAUUAAACAAUAUAAAGCAAGACAGAACUGCCAGCAAGGUUUGCAGUCCAGGAAAGAUCAAAAAGCCUACUGCACCCAGCCCACGAGUAAAGGCUGGAAGACUGGAUUAUUUUCCCUGUCUGCAUUGGUGAGAAAACAGUGUUACAGCUAAGAUAAUACAAGGACUAACAGCUCAUUUUAUAUUGAGAAAGAGUCUUUUUCUGUCAUUUAGUUUUGUAGUUUGUUGGUUGUUAUUAAAGCAAGCCUUUCUGCUAUUCAUCAA